Molecule: ribosomal RNA, 117 nt
Filed under: Ruminococcaceae bacterium KH2T8
Lineage: Bacteria; Bacillati; Bacillota; Clostridia; Eubacteriales; Oscillospiraceae
Also listed under: 1 other name
Source: RNAcentral
ACCGGUGGUGAUUACUGUGAGGCCACACCUGUUCCCAUCCCGAACACAGAAGUUAAGCUCACUUGUGCCGAAAAUACUUGACUGGAGACGGUCCGGAAAGAUAGGUUGCUGCCGGUU